This 21-nucleotide transfer RNA is filed under the name Typhonium digitatum. RNAcentral's name for it is "partial tRNA-Lys". The record is from RNAcentral. Lineage: Eukaryota; Viridiplantae; Streptophyta; Magnoliopsida; Alismatales; Araceae.
AGUACUCGGCUUUUAAGUGCG